This 344-nucleotide ribosomal RNA is filed under the name uncultured eukaryote. RNAcentral's name for it is "SSU rRNA". It matches the Rfam family "Eukaryotic small subunit ribosomal RNA", at positions 567 to 920 of the family's 1831-position model. The record is from RNAcentral.
CCAGCAGCCGCGGUAAUUCCAGCUCCGCAAGUGUAUUCCUAUACUGUUGCGUUUAAAUAGCUCGUAGUUGGAUCUGCGUGUUUAGCGCGCGGUGCUGUUACUCAAUAGCUACUGCGACGCGACACUUCAGGCCAGUCGACGGUGCUCUCUUUACGGGGGUGCAGUUGCUGGCGAGUUUACUUUGAACAAAUCAGAGUGCUCAAAACGGGCGUUUCGCUCGAAUGUUCUUGCAUGGAAUAAUGGAAUAGGACCUGGCGUUCUAUUUUGUUGGUUUUCGGGACGUGGGUAAUGAUUAAGAGGGACAGACGGGGGCAUUUGUACUGCGACGUGAGAGGUGAAAUUCU